UUGCUUGAUUCAGCGGUAUAAAUACUAAAAUUGGAGCGAUACAGAGAAGAUUAGCAUGAUCGCUGCACAAAGAUGACAUUCAAAACCAUGAAGCGUUCUACAUUUCU
This 107-nucleotide small nuclear RNA is filed under the name Oryctes borbonicus. The record is from RNAcentral. Lineage: Eukaryota; Metazoa; Arthropoda; Insecta; Coleoptera; Scarabaeidae.